CGGACCAGCAGCUGGAGACGGACGUCCUCUGUGUCCUCAGAGCAGGUUCAUCAGAGGCAUGAGCAGUGCAAGCUUCCACUGUGCACUCAGCCCCUGCCGGCUUGCCUUGGACCUGCCCUGGAGGGAGUUCAGGCUCUCUGGCCCAGUCCAUCCCCUGCCUCU
Molecule: small RNA, 162 nt
Filed under: Chrysemys picta bellii (western painted turtle)
Lineage: Eukaryota; Metazoa; Chordata; Testudines; Emydidae
Description: TUC338 (ENSCPBG00000015467.1)
Source: RNAcentral